GGAAUCUUCGGCAAUGGACGAAAGUCUGACCGAGCAACGCCGCGUGAGUGAAGAAGGUUUUCGGAUCGUAAACUCUGUUGGUAGAGAAGAACGUUGGUGAGAGUGGAAAGCUCAUCAAGUGACGGUAACUACCCAGAAAGGGACGGCUAACUACGUGCCAG
This 161-nucleotide ribosomal RNA is filed under the name uncultured bacterium. RNAcentral describes it as "partial 16S ribosomal RNA". It matches the Rfam family "Bacterial small subunit ribosomal RNA", at positions 358 to 511 of the family's 1533-position model. The record is from RNAcentral.